UAGAAGUUUAAAAGCAGCUGUCACACACAUUUUCACUAAGUGCAGUUUGCAGCUUGAUAAAGGAAGUCCUAUGUGGAGAUAUUAAUAAGCUUGAAUGUAGUAUCGGAAGUUUAUAAUGCAUGGCUAGGGAACUGAGGCUAAGGGAGUUAUGUGCUGUGCAUGAUGAGAACUCAAUGCUCAUUAAUGCUGUUAAUGUUUAUAAAUAAAUUAAUUAAACCAAUAGCAUUGUUUUUUAGGUUUCACUGUACAUUUUCAUACCAAUAGAAUUACACAUCAUUCUAAUUAUAGCAAUAAUAAAUUUGUACUAAUCAUACCUACAAAUUUUGUUAUGCUAUGCUUUGUGAUGUAUUAACUUCAUUGUAAGUUAUUAUUUAAAGACAAUUUUACUAAAUAUUUAAAACAAUACUUGAAUUAUUUUCUAUAUACAUUUUCAUUAUGUGCUUUAACUGUAGCUGACCAGUUGAUGGAAGAUACUGCAGAGUUUGGCAGGGAAAUAACCCAAGACAGCAAAGCGGCUCUUUUGGCGCAUUUACCAAGAGGACUAACAUGGCCACAAAUUCAUGAGAUCAUGCAGGAGCCGUACAGUAUAACAGCAGUACAAGUUCUAUAAAAGAUCCACGACCUACUGAAGCCCAGCUAAUUAACAAAAAAGUUUUUAAAAACUGUAAUUUUAUCCCACCUGGGUACUUAUAAUUUACUAAGCUGCCUUCACAAGUUUUAGACUUGCAAUUAUAUUUUAAACUGUCACUUGGAAAGUAAUACAUGUACAUGCAUUCAUGUUCUGAAUUUCUUUGAACAAUAAAAUUAUAUAAAAGUAUUUUAAUGAAAUUGAGCACCUAAAUUGCAUUAAAGUGAAAGUAGCUGAGAAAAAUAGUAUCCUUAAUUGUUCUCAUGGGCAGCUACAUAUAUUGUGACAAACAUGAAGUAGCUAAAAUAACUUAAAUUUUUCAUUUUGUUUCUUGUAUAUCGUUUGUACAGGGUUCGUGAAUUGUUACUGUAUAUUACUUGACUUGCUUGUAUUUUGUUACUUUGAAUACAUGUUGUUAAGGUUGCAUUAUACUUUUUAACUUUUAAAGUAGCGCCUGUUCUGUUAUGUAAGGGCCUGAUUUAUGAUAAUGGACCUAGAGGCUUUGUAAGCAUGUAUUAAACAACACUUGUUUGAUCUGAAUAAUUUGUUAAAUAAAUGUAACACAAUUUGUAAUCUGAUGUUAUAUUUUGAUGAAUUGUGAACAAAAUAAUACAUCGAAGAAACUAA
This is a long non-coding RNA of Dreissena polymorpha, 1255 nucleotides long. RefSeq lists it as uncharacterized. The record is from RefSeq and is a predicted model, not a curated record. The transcript is spliced from 2 exons. Lineage: Eukaryota; Metazoa; Mollusca; Bivalvia; Myida; Dreissenidae.